This 220-nucleotide ribosomal RNA is filed under the name uncultured bacterium. RNAcentral describes it as "partial 16S ribosomal RNA". It matches the Rfam family "Bacterial small subunit ribosomal RNA", at positions 110 to 334 of the family's 1533-position model. The record is from RNAcentral.
GGAACGUAACCCCCGGGAACGUGGGGGGAGUAACGCCGCGAAAGCGGCGCUAAUACCGCAUAUGCUCUGAGGAGGAAAGUGGGGGACCUGCAAGGGCCUCACGCUCUGGGAGCGGCCGAUGUCCGAUUAGCUAGUUGGUGAGGUAAUGGCUCACCAAGGCGACGAUCGGUAGCUGGUCUGAGAGGAUGAUCAGCCACACUGGGACUGAGACACGGCCCAG